AACACAUGCAAGUCGCACGAGAGGGGGGCAACCCCUGAAAGUGGCGCACGGGUGCGUAACACGUAGAUAAUCUGCCCUUUGGCGGGGGAUAACGUUCCGAAAGGAGCGCUAAUACCGCAUACAGCGUUUGGUGGUUCGCCACUGGACGGCAAAGGUUGGGACCGGCAACGGCCAAUCACCGAAGGAGGAGUCUGCGGCCCAUCAGCUAGUUGGUAAGGUAACGGCUUACCAAGGCAAAGACGGGUAGUUGGUCUGAGAGGAUGAUCAGCCACACUGGUACUGGAACACGGACCAGACUCCUACGGGAGGCAGCAGUGGGGAAUCUUGGUCAAUGGGCGAAAGCCUGAACCAGCGACGCCGCGUGAGUGAUGAAGGCCUUCGUGUUGUAAAGCUCUGUGGGGAGAGACGAAAGCCUGCGUUCUAACAGGAUGCAGUUUGACGGUAUCUCCUUAGCAAGCACCGGCUAACUCCGUGCCAGCAGCCGCGUUAAGACAGAGGGUGCAAACGUUGCUCGGAAUCACUGGGCGUAAAGGGCGUGUAGGCGGGAAGGUAAGUCGGGCGUGAAAUCCCUGGGCUCAACCCAGGAACUGCACUCGAAACUACUUUUCUUGAGUGCCGGAGAGGAAAGCGGAAUACCUGGUGUAGAGGUGAAAUUCGUAGAUAUCAGGUGGAACACCAGUGGCGAAGGCGGCUUUCUGGACGGUAACUGACGCUGAGACGCGAAAGCGUGGGGAGCAAACAGGAUUAGAUACCCUGGUAGUCCACGCUGUAAACGAUGAGCGCUAGGUGUCGUGGGUAUUGACCCCCGCGGUGCCGAAGCUAACGCAUUAAGCGCUCCGCCUGGGAAGUACGGUCGCAAGACUAAAACUCAAAGGAAUCCUUGUCUCGUCCUCUGCCUGAU
RNAcentral lists this ribosomal RNA (901 nucleotides) under Gossypium hirsutum (cotton). RNAcentral describes it as "bacterial SSU rRNA". It matches the Rfam family "Bacterial small subunit ribosomal RNA", at positions 50 to 1398 of the family's 1533-position model. The record is from RNAcentral. Lineage: Eukaryota; Viridiplantae; Streptophyta; Magnoliopsida; Malvales; Malvaceae.